AGAAAGGCCUUUCAGUGGUAUAGACAGUCCCUCAACUCCACCCACAUACCACUACUUUGAAGUGGGCAAUCUUUCAGCAAUAGGAUAAAUCGGAUUGUGUAGCGGGCUAAAGUGGAGGAGGCAGAACCACAACUUAAGGAGACAGCCUCGUUGCUGCUGCUGUUGUUGUUUUUCCUAGUUUUGAAAUAAUGUAUUUGGGGAGUUGUCAAAGAGCAGCUUACCAUGUUAGCUGAUCCUCUCCCAGCUUUGAGACCCUUCUCUGGAACACAGAGGGGCACUGAGGCAUUAAUAGCCUGGUGACUGCAGUCCCAGGAGGCCAGGGGAGGAUUUUGCUGAGGAGAAACAAGUCCUGGCUUACCCACCUCUAACCCUACUGCCAAAACACUACACCAGCAAAGGCUUCAUUGUCAAGAGCAUGGCAAUUCAUGGUGAAAGGAAAAAAAAAAAAAAAAAAAAAAAAAAAAAAAAAACCCAUACACUGGAAAAUAAGAGGAUGGCAAUGGAGCAGACAGUGGCAGCUCCUUCCUAAGCUUAUUAAUUUCCCACAUGGAGGCCUCAGGAAGGGGCUGUGGAGGCUGAGGGAGGCAGAGAGUAGUUCUUCAAGGAGGAGUAUUGCAUUACCUAGCCUCACCAUUCAGAAUAAGGAACUUUUUAAGGGAUAAACUUGAUUGACUACUUGUACAUGAAAGAGAGACAGAAAUGAUGGGCUGGCCAACUAAGAAAAACACCAGGCCUGUGCCAAAAAUGUUGUUCAGAGGUUGUUGACUCUUUUUCUACCAUUUUGCCUUUAUCAAGAGAAUGAUACGUGGUGGGGUUUUUAAAAAGAAACACAGAGGGGUUUGCUUGUUUGUUUGUUUUACAUCUUGGUGAGUCAAGAAGAGGCCUGCUUGCUGAUUUGGAUAAAGAAUGACCUGAGGGAGUUGCGUGUGGGGAGGGGUGCUUGUUUUUUAUAAGUAUACAUUGCAAUCUCCAUUUGGGUCUCUUCCUCACCCUAAGUAUUGUAGUUGGUUCACUGGGUAUUACAGGAGCAAAUGUUUUCCAGCCUGGCCCUGGGAAAGCCAGAGACUCAGAGUUGGGUAAUUUUGUAACCUGUGAGGAAGGACUUCAGGCUCCCAACUGUAGGGGUCAUUAUUCCUGACUCACAUUUAUCUCUCGUGGGCUUUUCCUCCUAAAUGGUCCUGCUUUUAAUGCUGCUGCUCCUGUAGCUGCCACUACCACUACUAUCAUGACGAUAGUUAUCUACCUUUCUCAAGUUUAAAAUUUUCUCUCUGAGCAUUCCCAAGUUUUACUUACACUUCUGUUGCAGUUCAGCUGAGAAUGGGAUACUCUUUGAAAGCUAUCUGUUAUCUUCCUCUCCUGGAUCUGGGUUGUAGUCAACUGGCUUAAUAGCCUCUGAGUAUGACUUUUAGGGGGGUUAGCAAACCGAAGUGAUAUUGGAGGCAACUACCAACAGGUAUGAAAUCAGUGCCUCAUACUCAUCUAUGUGAGUGUGACCUCUGAACCAAAUCCAAUAUCCAAUAUUUUGACCCCCUGGAUUCUCCCAACUUUUGUAAUCCUCCCGAGAUCAGUGUGUAAAUAUCUGGCAAGAAAAGGCCUGGAUUUUUGUCAAAUCUGUAGGUUCCAAAGUCCCUCCUAGACUCAGACAUCACAGACCAACUUUAUACCUGAGCAGAAAUUGUCAUCUAUGUGUGUAUGGGUAUGGGUGUGUGUUUAAGGUUGGGAUGAAUGUUGUCAAAGGUAGCAAUUAAAAAUAAGUUUUAGGACUGUCAUUUUCCUUGAAUGCUUGUUCAUUAAGCAUCCAGUGCUCUUUGUUGAAUGUUUUCAUGUAAGAUGGUUUUGAGAAAAUAGUUUGUGUGAAGUCAUACAGUACAGCGAUUGGUCCCAAGGGAGCAAAUUGAAUAGAGUUAUAAAGCUUUGAAUGCAUCUCAGUGUGAGGGGGGUUGCUGAUUGUAGCCGAAUCUCCAUCAGCCACUCUGAACGUCCUUACCCUCUGGGUCAGACUUUUUAGACAGACUCGGGAUCAGGGUAUGUCUAGCAGUCUCAAAUUUGUGUCCAGCAGUCUCAAAUGAGAUUUUGAAAAGUCUAACUCUAGGCCUUGGGAAUGUGACAACAUUGAGAGGCUCUACAUCAAAUUUCUUUACACAGCCAGGAGAAUGGACGUUAUCCCAAGAUUCAGUACCUGUGUGCCACCCCUUUUCCUCUCUGUUUCAGGUAGUACGUAAUCCCUGAGUUAAAUAAAGAAGCAACAAUAGACACACAGCAUAUAUAUCCUGAGCAGGCUACACCCCUUGGCAUCCAGUCCCAGUUAGCUUUCUGAGGUGUGGACUGUGAGAAUUUGGGCUGCUGGGGAAAAAGAAGCAAAAGGCUUGGCUUUUCUGGGAAAGUGGUCUAAGCAGGGGGCACAAAUGUCCAGUACUUGAAAUACACCUAUGGUACACAUUCUGGAGGCCCGAAGAGAGAGACAUUUCAUUUUCUCAAGGAAAAGAGAAGUGAGAUAAAGAAAGUAAAAACAAAGGAAGGAAGGAGGAGACAGAGAAAGGAUUUGAGAAGUAGAUACCAGUUAGGAACUACACAGUGAUGAUUCACAUUGCAUUGAAGAGUCUUGGAAAUGUGGUUCAAUUUCUUUACAAAUUAUGCUCCCAAACUGCUCCCUUGCUCAUAUUGCCAAUGGAAUGCUUUGAGUAAAAUCUAUCCUUCAUGAUUUAAAUUCAAA
Sapajus apella (tufted capuchin) is the source of this 2713-nucleotide long non-coding RNA. RefSeq lists it as uncharacterized. The record is from RefSeq and is a predicted model, not a curated record. NCBI's taxonomy places the organism in Eukaryota, Metazoa, Chordata, Mammalia, Primates, Cebidae. The transcript is spliced from 2 exons.